RNAcentral lists this ribosomal RNA (463 nucleotides) under uncultured bacterium. Its description in RNAcentral is "bacterial SSU rRNA". It matches the Rfam family "Bacterial small subunit ribosomal RNA", at positions 28 to 507 of the family's 1533-position model. The record is from RNAcentral.
GACGAACGCUGGCGGCGUGCCUAACACAUGCAAGUCGAACGGGGUUACGAGAGCUUGCUCUUGUAACUUAGUGGCGAACGGGUGAGUAACGCGUGAGAAACCUGCCUCUCAGUGGGGGACAACAGUUGGAAACGACUGCUAAUACCGCAUAACACUUUAGUACCGCAUGGUACAGAAGUCAAAGCUUUAUGUGCUGGAAGAUGGCCUCGCGUCUGAUUAGCUAGUUGGUGGGGUAACGGCCUACCAAGGCGACGAUCAGUAGCCGGUCUGAGAGGAUGAACGGCCACAUUGGGACUGAGACACGGCCCAAACUCCUACGGAGGCAGCAGUGGGGAAUCUUCCGCAAUGGGCGCAAGCCUGACGGAGCAACGCCGCGUGAGUGAAGAAGGUUUCGGGUGUAAACUUCUUUGUCAGGGACGAAGCAAUGACGGUACCUGACGAAUAAGCCACGGCUAACUACGUG